This is a long non-coding RNA of Peromyscus californicus insignis, 814 nucleotides long. RefSeq lists it as uncharacterized. The transcript has 2 exons. NCBI's taxonomy places the organism in Eukaryota, Metazoa, Chordata, Mammalia, Rodentia, Cricetidae. The record is from RefSeq and is a predicted model, not a curated record.
GGGUUCGGUCUUCUUCGGUUAAGCUCGGGUAUUUCCGUUUGUGAAGGUGACUAUUCGGCGGUCCAGCGGGUACUUCCUGGGAUGCGCACCCAGCAGAGCAGGAAGCGGAUCCUUGGUGGUCUGUGAGGCAGGAGAGAAGAACACUGAAAAUUAUGGGGACCUGAAGGAAUAGCGUCUCUGACCCUGGAGCCUGGAGAAGCAAGAAUGCCAGUACAGUUAACAGUUGCUUAAAGGUUUUUCUCCCUUCUCAGCUGUAAACCUGCAAUGUUCUAGGAAUCUCACCAGAAAUUCCAUUUACAGGGAAAGGAUGUGUACUGAACCUGAACAAUUCUAGUAGCUUCUGGUUUUACCUUAUGAGAUUACAGUUCCAUCCAAGGCAUCUCUGGAGCCAGACUCCAAUCUUUUAUUUUUUUAUUUUAUUUUAUUUUUUGGUUUUUUGAGACAGGGUUUCUCUGUGUAGCUUUGCGCCUUUCCUGGAACUCACUCUGUAGCCCAGGCUGGCCUCGAACUCACAGAGAUCCACCUGGCUCUGCCUCCCAAGUGCUGGGAUUAAAGGCGUGCACCAUCACCGCCCAGCAGGAAACAGGUUUCUUAGCAACUCUUUGAAGUGUAGCUUGAGAAUCACCAAAAAGGUAUUAUAUGUGGCUAAUGCUAAGACAAUUGAGACUCUUCCUUGAGGAUCCCAUAUCCACUGCUUCCCCCAUUCUUCCAUGGGAGACAUAUACCCACACUUGGUUAAGUCUUUUUUGAGCACUUCUCUCAUGCCUAAAGAUGAUAUUAAAGUAUCUUUAAUAAAAUCUCCAACUUUGCUUCA